Molecule: small nuclear RNA, 103 nt
Organism: Nannospalax galili (Upper Galilee mountains blind mole rat)
Lineage: Eukaryota; Metazoa; Chordata; Mammalia; Rodentia; Spalacidae
Source: Ensembl
UGUCUCUUUGCAGGCACAUACACUAAAACUUGGAACAACACAGAGAUUAGCAUGGGCCCUAUCAGAGAAUGACACACAAAGUUAAGACGCAUUCUAUAAUUUG